Molecule: long non-coding RNA, 1170 nt
Organism: Syngnathus typhle (broad-nosed pipefish)
Lineage: Eukaryota; Metazoa; Chordata; Actinopteri; Syngnathiformes; Syngnathidae
Exons: 5
Source: RefSeq, a predicted model, not a curated record
AGCAUGGCUACAAAUUCGCCACCUACGGCCCUCCAAAAUUCCUUGGUCUUUAAUUGUUCCACUCCCGACAUUGUCCUGUGACAAACAGAUUGCGCUGAAGAUUUACAAUCAUCUGCACACAAGUGCGUGGAUGUAUUUUGUCCUAAUUGGUGUUUGCUCCCACUACCUUAAGGAGCUGAAUAUUUUUGUCGACGACAGUAAAGACAAGUCGUAUUGUACUUACGCAGCAGUAGCAGGUUGUGCAGAGCUGGUGGCCACUCUGGCAUUCGAACGUGCUCCAUCUCUUGUGCCUUGGGAUUCCACGUCUGGCAUCACUUCUCACAAAUUCUAAUGCCUGAGCAAGUUGGGAGGAGUCAGGGAGGAGCAGGGAGUCAGCUUUUUAACACAUGUUGGUCAUGAUGAAAUGUGUGUGUGUGUGUGUGUGUGUGUGUGUGUGGUAUUUGGUGUAAAAGGUUUGAAGAUCACAGGAAUGAAAGAAAGCAUUUUUUUUCAUUUUGGGAAGCACGAUUAUUUCCCCAUAUCAUUUCGUAGACUACAUUUGAAUACAUUUUCUUGGUAAAAUGAAUCAGAUGAAUUCUGAACUACAAAUUCUGGUGCGUUCUCGUGCUGUUUGAGAGUUGGUAUUCCAAAAUUCUUAUUGAAAUUGGAAACGAAUGGGCUGUUAAAGGUGGGUCAAGUCAGUAAGCAUCAGCAUGGGCUUUAAAGGAGAUCACUAAACGACAGAUGGUGCCGUGUUUCAAGCGCGUCAUGCGUAGGUAAUUAUGUGGUGUUUUACCGUUGAUGAGAUUCCCGAGUGUCACUGAAGUAGUCAACUCACAGCACUCUCUUUACCUGCAGAUAUGUGGUUGAAUCCUCGUGUUGGGGUCAGACAACUCAAGAUCCUCAAAAUUCCGAGAAUAGGGCGAGAUGUGCUGUGGAUGACGUGCAGGAUGUCUAAGCGUGAAGCAAAUUAGUGACGUGUGGUGUACUCUGGAAUCCAGCUAGUAACGACGCCUGUCGUAGAACCAAGACAAAAUACAAGUAACAAACGAUAAUUGGUUCCUUGGAGUGCUCUCCUUCCCUUCAAGUGUGAAAUUAAAAUCCAAAGCCUCUUCCGAGCUAUAACGCUGUCAUGCUGAGGAGCUAUCAUGCUAAAACAUCCAAAUCGUGUGUUACAACAAUGAUGUCAUC